GUCUUCCAGCAUUGCGUUUCGUUUCAAUUGUCUGUACUGUGGACUCAAUUAUUUUAGCGGUUAACAAUUUUAGUGGAUCAAGGAAAAAUUGAAGUUUUGUCUGAUAUGUAAUUUCCUGGUUUUGCAAAAAUCUGAACAACAAAUUGAACCUAUUUCAAAGUUGUACUUCGUUGAACAUUUAAAUUCGAGGUUAACCUAUAUUCACGAAAUCUACGCUAAUUGAUAUCCCAUGCACAAAUAACAUUGGUAUUAUUUUUUCUUGAUUCUCGACAUGCUCCUAUAGUUUAACUCUGCACAUGUACUUGUUAAUUACAUAUCUUAUACAUGUACCAGCAUAGUUGUGUUUAUGGCUGAUGUGUUUAAGGCAUUACAGAGCUUUUUAAGGCAUUACAGAGCUUUUUAAGGCAUUACAGAGCUUUUUAAGGCAUUACAGAGCUUUUUAAGGCAUUUUCUAUGGGGUUUAAAGGCAUUAGUUACGGAGCUUUUUAAGGCAUUACCUUUAAGUUUUACCCCAAUACAGAGGGUUUUUAAGAUUUGACAGAGCUUUCACAUACCGGAUAUUACAUAAAUGCAUUUGUUAUUUGUUUACUGGUAACAUUUUAAUUUUUGUGGGUAUCUGUUACAUUUAGCAAAAGUAUUGAGUCACAUUUUCAACUUUUGUUGGUACCAUUCCAUGCUAUACAAAAC
RNAcentral lists this long non-coding RNA (687 nucleotides) under Mytilus galloprovincialis (Mediterranean mussel). Lineage: Eukaryota; Metazoa; Mollusca; Bivalvia; Mytilida; Mytilidae. The record is from RNAcentral.